This is a long non-coding RNA of Eptesicus fuscus (big brown bat), 1718 nucleotides long. RefSeq lists it as uncharacterized. NCBI's taxonomy places the organism in Eukaryota, Metazoa, Chordata, Mammalia, Chiroptera, Vespertilionidae. The transcript has 8 exons. The record is from RefSeq and is a predicted model, not a curated record.
GACCAUCCCGCAGGCUCCCUGCCCGGCCGGCUCGGGGACGGGACUGGGACCGCUUCCCGACCCGGACCCGUGGGCCCGUGUUCGGUCCGGCCUCGCGGGACCGUUUCUCGGUCCGAUCCGCUCGAGCGCCGAGCCUGGACUCGGGGGCGGUCACCCCAGCGCCGAGCGAGCGGCUGGUUCUCAGGAAACACGUUCAGUCAAUGGAGAAGUGUCCUGGGUGAGGAUCAGCAACAACAAAGAAGUCGGAGGGACGGGCAGCUGUCUGUUCAGCCGAUCAGAAGGUGACUUAGGAAGAACGGGAAGAGCCGCUGCCUUGGGGAUGAGAAGGAUAUAAAAUCCCUGUCAUCGAGAAACUGGGUGUGACCUUAGACCAGUUCGAUGCCAUUGAUUUUUCUGACAAUGAAAUGCGGAAACUGGACGGCUUCCUUCGCUGAGGAGACUGAAGACCCUCCUGGUGAACAACAACAGGAUAUGAGAGGAAGGGAGAGGGAUAGAGAGUUAGAAACAUCGACGAGAGAGAAACAUCCAUCAGCUGCCUUCUGCACACUCCCUACUGGUUAUGUGCCCGCAACCAAGACAACCCGAGGGAAAGAGGAAUGCCCGACUGAACAGCCGGCCAUCGCAUGUUUUCACAGCGCCUGCCGCACCCGGGUGAGGGUGACCUGGACCCGCUGGCGUCGCUCAAGUCGCUGACCUCCCUGAGGUCGGAGAUGACCCGGUGACAGUGAGUCCCUUACAACAACUCCCUGCCCGGCCUCGACCUAAACAGCCAGUGAGGACAAAGGAAUGCUGAAUGGACCUGGAACUGGAAAAGCCUGGUGCGGGGCAGCUGCAUUCCCGACUGAGCCGGGCACCUACUUGACUCGGAGCUGAUCCGAUGCGGGCAGUGCCACCCCACCUGCAGGACCUGCGUGGGCCCCAGCAGGGAGGAAUGCAUCCACUUCGCCAGCAUCCUGCACUUCCGGGACUGGACGUGUCUGCCCACCUGUGGCGAGCGUCAAGCACGUGGCCUCCCCGUCAUGUCCCGCCGGCUCGAGCAUCUCCACGGUCAACCUCAGCCGCACCGGGUCCCGCUGGCGGGCCGGGCCGUCCACACGCGUGACUUGGGGCCCAACCGCCGGUGUCCGUCCACCCGGUCUGUGCGCCAGACCUGUGUCCGGCCUGUGGUUUAGCUGCCUGCUCCAGUUCUCGCCGAGGGGGUCCUGUGGACAGAGCCCCGAUAUUUCCCUGGAAAUGCACCGAUCGGCUCCCGGGACCUAGAGUAACCUUUGCUUUAAAGUUUCUCUCGAGCUUGUACGUGUCCGUUGUGUCCGGCUCCCCCCUCGAACCAUCAUGCAUCUGACGUGUCUCGGGGAGCAGGGGGAGCCCCCCACAGGAGUGAAUCGAAAUCAUGAAACAUAGGGAGACGUCGAAAUCAUGAAACAUAGGGAGACGCCCUCAGAGCAAAUGCGGUGUUAACCCUAAGUUAAUAAAAGAGUUAACAGCCCACAGCCAAGGACUCUUUCUUUCCCGGGCACAGCGAUGACACCUGGGUGCUGCCCGGCCGGUGAGGCUCAGCGGUUGAGCUUUGACCGGGAGGUCACAGGUCCGAUUCCUGGUUCGAAGCUCCAUCCCCGGUGUGGGGGUGCAGGAGGCACCGAUCAGUGAUUCUCAUCAUGGAUGUUUUUCUUUCUGUCUCCCUUACUCUCUGUAAAUAACCAAUAAAAUAUAUAUAUUUA